This is a long non-coding RNA of Miniopterus natalensis, 278 nucleotides long. RefSeq lists it as uncharacterized. Lineage: Eukaryota; Metazoa; Chordata; Mammalia; Chiroptera; Miniopteridae. The record is from RefSeq and is a predicted model, not a curated record.
AAUUCCGAAGUAAGAACUUCUGGCCUCUUUUCACCAUAAUAAAGGGCUGCCUUUGUAGGAAAAAGAAGGACAACAAUAAGGAAUUUCAGGAUCCUGGUGCUCUGAUUAUGCCUACAAGGGAUUUGGAAAAGAAGGAUGACUCCAGCAUUUGAAAGGUGUGUCAUCCUGGAUGCAUAAGAACAAUGGACAGAGCUGGCUUAAGAUUUACCUCCUCCAUUUCUGAGAAAUUCUGCUUUAAUUAUUUGUAAAUAAACAGACUGUGUGUUUGUAUAUAUGUG